CUAGGAUUCCCCCAGUAACGGCGAGUGAAGAGGGACUAGCCCAAAUUUGUAAUCUGGCUCUUUCAGAGUCCGAGUUGUAAUCUCGAGAACGCUUUUCCGUGUGGGACCUUGUAUAAGUCUGUUGGAAUAUAGCUUCGUAGAGGGUGAGAAUCCCGUACAAGACAAGGACUACCCAUGCUUUGUGAUAGCGUCUCCAAGAGUCGAGUUGUUUGGGAAUGCAGCUCAAAUCGGGUGGUAAAUUCCAUCUAAGGCUAAAUAUUGGCGAGAGACCGAUAGCGAACAAGUACCGUGAGGGAAAGAUGAAAAGCACUUUGGAAAGAGAGUUAACAGUACGUGAAAUUGUUAAAAGGGAAACGCUUGAGGUCAGUCUUGUAGUGUGUUGUUCAACCGCAAGGUGUAUUCAACGUAUUACAGGCCAACAUCAGUUUUCGGUGUUGGAUAAGGGUGUUUGGAACGUAGCAACCUCGGUUGUGUUAUAGCCUUUCACUUGAUACAACGCUGGGGAUUGAGGAACGCAGUGAGCCUUUUGGCGAGUCCUUCUUGGACUUUCUCACUU
This 556-nucleotide ribosomal RNA is filed under the name Insolibasidium deformans. RNAcentral's name for it is "eukaryotic LSU rRNA". It matches the Rfam family "Eukaryotic large subunit ribosomal RNA", at positions 69 to 616 of the family's 3401-position model. Lineage: Eukaryota; Fungi; Basidiomycota; Pucciniomycetes; Platygloeales; Platygloeaceae. The record is from RNAcentral.